AUUCUGCAUGUGAAGGGUAUUCCAUUCUUCCAUGCUGGGGACGAGAUUCUACGCUCGAAAUCACUUGAUCGUGAUUCUUACAACUCCGAUGAUUGGUUCAAUAGGCUAGACUUCAGCUACAGUUCCAACAAUUGGGGUGUUGGGCUUCCUCCAAAAGG
Molecule: non-coding RNA, 158 nt
Organism: Camelina sativa (false flax)
Lineage: Eukaryota; Viridiplantae; Streptophyta; Magnoliopsida; Brassicales; Brassicaceae
Source: RefSeq, a predicted model, not a curated record